RNAcentral lists this ribosomal RNA (634 nucleotides) under uncultured bacterium. Its description in RNAcentral is "bacterial SSU rRNA". It matches the Rfam family "Bacterial small subunit ribosomal RNA", at positions 216 to 847 of the family's 1533-position model. The record is from RNAcentral.
CGGGUCCGGAUGGGCAUGCGUGGCAUUAGCUUGUUGGCGGGGUAACGGCCCACCAAGGCGACGAUGCCUAGGGGUUCUGAGAGGAAGGUCCCCCACACUGGUACUGAGACACGGACCAGACUCCUACGGGAGGCAGCAGUGAGGAAUAUUGGUCAAUGGGCGUAAGCCUGAACCAGCCAAGUCGCGUGAGGGACGACGGCCCUACGGGUUGUAAACCUCUUUUGCCGGGGGACAAACGGCGGCACGCGUGCCGUCCUGAGGGUACCCGGAGAAAAAGCAUCGGCUAACUCCGUGCCAGCAGCCGCGGUAAUACGGAGGAUGCGAGCGUUAUCCGGAUUUAUUGGGUUUAAAGGGUGCGUAGGCGGGAUGCCAAGUCAGCGGUCAAAUACGGGGGCUCAACCUGCGUCCGCCGUUGAAACUGGCGUUCUUGAGUGGGCGAGAAGUACGCGGAAUGCGUGGUGUAGCGGUGAAAUGCAUAGAUAUCACGCAGAACCCCGAUUGCGAAGGCAGCGUACCGGCGCCCAACUGACGCUGAAGCACGAAAGCGUGGGUAUCGAACAGGAUUAGAUACCCUGGUAGUCCACGCAGUAAACGAUGAACACUAAUUGUCCGGCGGGGUUUGCCGCUGGGUGAU